CUUUGUAUGGCACCCCAAACAUCUUGUUUCAUGUUGGUUAUUAUGUGAUCAGAACAAAAAGCCAAUUCGUUCAGCCAGCAGCCUACAAAGUCUCUGAAAGCCAAAUCUAGAAGAUUCUGCAGAGCUCCAUCAACCAGCCUGGUGACUCUUUAUAGCAUCGAGUACUCUAGAAAAAAUUCAUGAAAUAGUUGAUGAAGGAAAAUUUAAAUUGGGUGGAGAGAAUCAAUGAAUUUUGAGUGAAUUUUGAGAAAAGAAGAGGAAACUUUGGUGCACAUUUGUGAGUGCAGAGAAAUAAAAGCGGACAUGAGGAAUGCAGAGGUAGACAGACUAGAAAGAUGGCUGGAGAAAACAGUAAGAGUGAAAGAGAAAAUAAAUAAAGCGCUAAAAGGAAAAAUAAGUAAAGAGUUGUAUGUAUGAGAGGAUACAAAUGGAUGAUGAAAAAAAAUGUAAGUGAAGAAAAGAUACGGAAAUAAAGAAGAAAGAUGUCUAGUAUGUAAGCUGAGACUUUGGUAAAUAGAGGGGGAACUAUGUGAAAACCUGUACUUGAAAAUAAGCUACUACUACUACUACAAAGUCCACAGAAAUUAUCAAACAAAUUAUACAAACCAUUAGC
This is a long non-coding RNA of Venturia canescens, 613 nucleotides long. RefSeq lists it as uncharacterized. The transcript has 3 exons. Lineage: Eukaryota; Metazoa; Arthropoda; Insecta; Hymenoptera; Ichneumonidae. The record is from RefSeq and is a predicted model, not a curated record.